UACAGAGACCUCAAGCGUUAUCCGGAUUUAUUGGGCGUAAAGCGCGGGUAGGUGGAUAUAUUAGUCAGAUGUCAAAUCCUCCGACUUAAUCGGAGAACUGCAUUUGAAACGGUAUAUCUGGAGGAAACGAGAGAUCAAUGGAACUUAUGGUGUAGCAGUGAAAUGCGUUGAUAUCAUAAGGAACACCAAAGGCGAAGGCAUUUGAUUGGCGUUUUCCUGACACUGAGCCGCGAAAGCGUGGGUAG
RNAcentral lists this ribosomal RNA (245 nucleotides) under uncultured bacterium. Its description in RNAcentral is "partial 16S ribosomal RNA". It matches the Rfam family "Bacterial small subunit ribosomal RNA", at positions 524 to 768 of the family's 1533-position model. The record is from RNAcentral.